GACCGAUAGCGCACAAGUAGAGUGAUCGAAAGAUGAAAAGCACUUUGAAAAGAGGGUUAAACAGUCACGUGAAAUUGUUAAAAGGGAAGCGCUUGUGACCAGACUUGCGUCCGGUGAAUCACCCAGCUCUCGCGGCUGGGGCACUUCGCCGGCUCAGGCCAGCAUCAGCUCGCUGUCGGGGACAAAAGCUUCAGGAACGUAGCUCUCUUCGGGGAGUGUUAUAGCCUGUUGCAUAAUACCCUUCGGCGGGCUGAGGUACGCGCUCCGCAAGGAUGCUGGCAUAAUGGUCAUCAGCGACCCGUCUUGAAACACGGACCAAGGAGUCAACCU
RNAcentral lists this ribosomal RNA (330 nucleotides) under Colletotrichum gloeosporioides. RNAcentral describes it as "eukaryotic LSU rRNA". It matches the Rfam family "Eukaryotic large subunit ribosomal RNA", at positions 332 to 680 of the family's 3401-position model. The record is from RNAcentral. Lineage: Eukaryota; Fungi; Ascomycota; Sordariomycetes; Glomerellales; Glomerellaceae.